AACGAACGCUGGCGGCAUGCCUAACACAUGCAAGUCGAACGAGAUCUUCGGGUCUAGUGGCGCACGGGUGCGUAACGCGUGGGAAUCUGCCCUUUGGUUCGGAAUAACAGUUGGAAACGACUGCUAAUACCGGAUGAUGACGAAAGUCCAAAGAUUUAUCGCCAGAGGAUGAGCCCGCGUAGGAUUAGUUAGUUGGUGUGGUAAAGGCGCACCAAGGAGACGAUCCUUAGCUGGUCUGAGAGGAUGAUCAGCCACACUGGGACUGAGACACGGACCACAAUACUACGGGAGGCAGCAGUGGGGAAUAUUGGACAAAGUGCGGAAGCCUGAUCCUGCAAUGCCGCGUGGGUGAUGAAGACCUUAGGGUUGUAAAGCUCUUUUACCCGGGAUGAUAAUGACGGUACCGCGAGAAUAAGCUCCGGCUAACUCCUUGCCAGCAGCCGCCGCGG
This 449-nucleotide ribosomal RNA is filed under the name uncultured bacterium. RNAcentral describes it as "partial 16S ribosomal RNA". It matches the Rfam family "Bacterial small subunit ribosomal RNA", at positions 29 to 523 of the family's 1533-position model. The record is from RNAcentral.